Molecule: ribosomal RNA, 451 nt
Filed under: uncultured bacterium
Lineage: Bacteria
Description: partial 16S ribosomal RNA
Rfam family: Bacterial small subunit ribosomal RNA
Source: RNAcentral
GUGGGGAAUAUUGGACAAUGGGGGGAACCCUGAUCCAGCCAUGCCGCGUGUGUGAAGAAGGCCUUUUGGUUGUAAAGCACUUUAAGCGAGGAGGAGGCUACCGAGAUUAAUACUCUUGGAUAGUGGACGUUACUCGCAGAAUAAGCACCGGCUAACUCUGUGCCAGCAGCCGCGGUAAUACAGAGGGUGCAAGCGUUAAUCGGAUUUACUGGGCGUAACGCGCGCGUAGGUGACCAAUUAAGUCAAAUGUGAAAUCCCCGAGCUUAACUUGGGAAUUGCAUUCGAUACUGGUUGGCUAGAGUAUGGGAGAGGAUGGUAGAAUUCCAGGUGUAGCGGUGAAAUGCGUAGAGAUCUGGAGGAAUACCGAUGGCGAAGGCAGCCAUCUGGCCUAAUACUGACACUGAGGUGCGAAAGCAUGGGGAGCAAACAGGAUUAGAAACCCGGGUAGUCC